AUUGGUGUGUUCAAAGAUGUUUAAUUCCCUUCCUUCGGAGCAAAACUCAAUCUGGAAGACAACGGUCAUCCAGUAUCUGCCGCAUCUGGGAAAGGAGCAGGCUUUUUAGCAACCGAAAAAGGAAGUACUCUCAAGCAAGGUGGAAGGAAAGUAGAGGGAAGCUGAAACCAAGGAAAACCCCAGAGAGAAAACCAAGAAGAGAGGCAUUCGGGAAUAGGCAAACCCUUAACCACCAGCCUCGGCCUACAUAAUAGACAGAAUUCCUAUUCAAGACAAACAGAGAAGCCCGACCAGCAGCAGAACUAGAGAUAGAGAGAAAACAAUUUACCAAUCAUAUUUAUUGAGAGCUUACUGUGUACAGAGCAUUGUACUACACACUUGGGAUAGUACAAUAUAACAAAAUUAACUGACACAUUACUGCCCACAAAACAUAAACGAAAAGGGGAAAUUUAUCUAGAAUUUUACUAUUUCCCCCCCCCACAAAAGAAAAAAUUACAGUGUCAGUGAUGAUAUUCUAUUUCUUAAUUAUAACGGUCUUUCUAAAAGCCCAGAUGUGUCACAUCAAGAAAAUGAUCACUGAAGCCAUCAGGUAGAAUGCUUCCUGAAAACGCGCCUGUUCAUUAGAACAUCUUCGAAGAACAAAAAUUGAAUAUCAAACUUAAAAAUAAAAAAUACAGAUUACCCCACGUCCGUACCCAGAAUACAGCUCUCGGGAACCAAAUCUGACCAUAAAUCUGGCUCUAUUACAUAAAGCUGCUAAUAUCCUGGAUCAUAAAUUUCCUUUCCGGCGCACGGAAAGGAAGAUUUAAGGGAGACAGAGCUGCGGUUCCCUGCACCGGGUCUUUUAAAGCCAUAAACUGACAGAACACAGACCAGAAAGCCAGAAGGAUCUGGGUUCUAAUCCUUGCUCCGUCCACUCGCCUACUGUGUGUCCUUGGGCAAGUCAGUUAACUUUUCUGUGCCUCAUUCCCUCAUUGGUAAAAUGGGGAUGAUGACCGUGACUCCUACGAGGGACAUGGACUGCAUCCAACCUGACUAGUUUGUAUCUACCCCUGCGCUUACUAGAGUGCCUGAUACAUAGUAAGCACUCAAUAAAUGCCACUGAUUAACAAAUACCAUAAAUCAAUAAAUGCAGUGGUUGGGU
This 1144-nucleotide long non-coding RNA is filed under the name Ornithorhynchus anatinus (platypus). RNAcentral's name for it is "lncRNA (ENSOANG00000050312.1)". Lineage: Eukaryota; Metazoa; Chordata; Mammalia; Monotremata; Ornithorhynchidae. The record is from RNAcentral.